RNAcentral lists this ribosomal RNA (816 nucleotides) under uncultured cyanobacterium. RNAcentral's name for it is "bacterial SSU rRNA". It matches the Rfam family "Bacterial small subunit ribosomal RNA", at positions 8 to 864 of the family's 1533-position model. The record is from RNAcentral. Lineage: Bacteria; Bacillati; Cyanobacteriota.
AGAGUUUGAUCCUGGCUCAGGAUGAACGCUGGCGGUAUGCUUAACACAUGCAAGUCGAACGGAUGUUUUCGGACAUUAGCGGCGGACGGGUGAGUAACGCGUGAGAAUCUGGCUUCAGGUUCGGGACAACAGUGGGAAACUGCUGCUAAUACCGGAUGUGCCUAGGGGUAAAAGAUUAAUUGCCUGAAGAUGAAGCUCGCGUCUGAUUAGCUAGUUGGUAGGGUAAGAGCCUACCAAGGCGACGAUCAAGUAACUGGUCUGAGAGGAUGACCAGUCACACUGGGACUGAGACACGGGCCAGACUCCUUCGGGAGGCACANUGGGGAAUUUUCCGCCAAUGGGGCAAAGCCUGACGGACCAAUACCGCGUGAGGGAGGAAGGCUCUUGGGUUGUAACCUUCUUUUCUUAGGGAAGAAUACUUGCGGGACCUUAAGAAAUAAGCAUCGGCUAACUUCCGUGCCAGCAGCCGCGGUAUACCGGAAGAAUGCAAGCGUAUCCGGAAUGAUUGGGCGUAAAAGCGUCCGCAGGUGGCAUUGCCAGGUCUGCUUGUCAAAGGUCAGGGCUUAACCCUGAACAGGCAGUGGAAACUGCAGAGCUAGAGUGUGGUAGGGGCAGAGGGAAUUCCCAGUGUAGCGGUGAAAUGCGUAGAGAUUGGGAAGAACACCGGUGGCGAAAGCGCUGUAGGCCAUAACUGACACUCAGGGACGAAAGCUAGGGGAGCGAAUGGGAUUAGAUACCCCAGUAGUCCUAGCCGUAAACGAUGGAUACUAGGCGUUGUUCGUAUCGACCCGAGCAGUGCCGAGCUAACGCGUUAAG